This 393-nucleotide ribosomal RNA is filed under the name uncultured bacterium. Its description in RNAcentral is "partial 16S ribosomal RNA". It matches the Rfam family "Bacterial small subunit ribosomal RNA", at positions 523 to 918 of the family's 1533-position model. The record is from RNAcentral.
AUACGGAGGAUCCGAGCGUUAUCCGGAUUCAUUGGGUUUAAAGGGUGCGCAGGCGGCCGUGCAAGUCAGCGGUGAAAGCCCGGGGCUCAACCCCGGAAGUGCCGUUGAUACUGCAUGGCUGGAAUGCGGUCGAGGCGGGCGGAACGGGGGGUGUAGGGGGGAAAAGCGUAGAUAUGCCACAGAAAGCCGAUAGCGGAGGCAGCUCGCCAGGCCUGCAUUGACGCUCGGGCACGAAAGCGUGGGGAUCGAGCAGGAUUAGAUACCCUGGUAGUCCACGCCGUAAACGAUGGGCGCUCGUCGUCGGCGGCAGACAGUCGGCGGCCAAGCGAAAGCGAUAAGCGCCCCACCUGGGGAGUACGGUCGCAAGGCUGAAACUCAAAUGAAUUGACGGGG